GAUCCUGGCUCAGGAUGAACGCUGGCGGCGUGCUUAACACAUGCAAGUCGAGCGAAGCACUUUGCUUUGAUUUCUUCGGGAUGAAGAGCUUAGUGACUGAGCGGCGGACGGGUGAAGUAACGCGUGGGUAACCUGCCUCAUACAGGGGGAUAACAGUUAGAAAUGACUGCUAAUACCGCAUAAGACCACAGCACCGCAUGGUGCAGGGGUAAAAACUCCGGUGGUAUAGAGAUGGACCCG
RNAcentral lists this ribosomal RNA (240 nucleotides) under uncultured bacterium. Its description in RNAcentral is "partial 16S ribosomal RNA". It matches the Rfam family "Bacterial small subunit ribosomal RNA", at positions 15 to 233 of the family's 1533-position model. The record is from RNAcentral.